UACGAAGGGGGCUAUCGUUGUUCGGAAUUACUGGGCGUAAAGCGCGUGUAGGCGGGUCGUUAAGUCGGGGGUGAAAGCCCAGAGCUCAACUCUGGAACUGCCUUCGAUACUGGCGACCUGGACCCAAGGAGAGGCGAGUGGAAUUCCGAGUGUAGAGGUGAAAUUCGUAGAUAUUCGGAGGAACACCAGUGGCGAAGGCGACUCGCUGGACUUGUGGUGACGCUGAGACGCGAAAGCGUGGGGAGAAAACAGG
RNAcentral lists this ribosomal RNA (253 nucleotides) under uncultured bacterium. RNAcentral's name for it is "partial 16S ribosomal RNA". It matches the Rfam family "Bacterial small subunit ribosomal RNA", at positions 524 to 776 of the family's 1533-position model. The record is from RNAcentral.